Molecule: non-coding RNA, 583 nt
Organism: Prunus avium (sweet cherry)
Lineage: Eukaryota; Viridiplantae; Streptophyta; Magnoliopsida; Rosales; Rosaceae
Source: RefSeq, a predicted model, not a curated record
GAAUGCCUUACAGGAAACGUAUUUAUUUCUCACAAUUUAUUAUGUUUUAGAUCUGGUUCCAUUUCCUCUUUUAAUUUUAGUUCUCAUUCUUUUAUUUUAUUUUAUUUUUUUGUGCAAAGUUUUCAUUCUUUGUUGGGUCCAACAAGUACAUGGCUGAGAAUUGAAAUUGUUUAAGUUUGAUAUGUGAUUUUGCAUUUUGUGGUAUAAUAGGAAUAGGGUCAUGAGAGAGAAUCGCAGACAUAAGAUGGUGUGGGCUACAUAUAAUUUCCCUCACUCUCAAAUAAAGUUGUAAAGCAACCGAAGCCUUGGGCAUCACAGAUAAAGAUGCAUUUUCAUGUUUAUUACGAUUGAUGUGUACAUGGAGGCUUAAACUACAAACACAAGUGCUACGAAAAGUCAAGCUUCUAAGUUAGAAAUUCUACGUUUUACUAUACUAGAUAGUUUGGUUUAUUUCAGCAUAUAUUGUUUUCAAUGUAAUUUUUUUAAUGUUUUUUAGUAACAUUUCUCAAGAUAGUUAACAUGUCAUUACGAGUUUUUGAAUGUUUGUAUCUAAAUAUUCUAUUUUAGUGGAUAUUAAAUUUCA